Molecule: long non-coding RNA, 521 nt
Organism: Carassius carassius (crucian carp)
Lineage: Eukaryota; Metazoa; Chordata; Actinopteri; Cypriniformes; Cyprinidae
Exons: 2
Source: RefSeq, a predicted model, not a curated record
UAUAGUUUCAUAAGACUGAAUAUUACUGUUUGUUAAAAUUACUUUUCAAUGUAUCUUUUUAAAGUGAAAUAUGUAUUUUUACAACUUACUUGUGAAUUCUUUUUAUAGAAUUUUCAGAUUCUGAGAUGUCAGAAGUGUAGCAUGCUCUUUUCCAUUUUCUGGAAAUGUUGUCAAAUGAUGCUGAAAUUAUCAAAAAUUCUGGCCUGAUGCUUGGUCCAACCCUUAUCUGGCUGUGGUGCCUCCAUCAACCUGACGCUCUUUAGUAACCGGUCCAAGUCUUUGUAUGGAGGCCACCAUGAGUGGCCAUCUGAGUACCAGGACUUUGCUACAGGACCGGUACUCCCUUCUCCGACGAACUCCACUAUCAGGUACAUGUUCUUUUUGUUGUUGUUUAGUUUAUUUUAGCUGGAACAACCUAAAGCCCCAUAAAGUGUAACGAUUCUUAUUACAUUUCAGUUGUUCAUAUGCAUGAUUCAGUUACCCAAAAUAAAAGUAGCAAGUCCAAAAAAAAAAAAACAAAU